This 253-nucleotide ribosomal RNA is filed under the name uncultured bacterium. RNAcentral's name for it is "partial 16S ribosomal RNA". It matches the Rfam family "Bacterial small subunit ribosomal RNA", at positions 524 to 776 of the family's 1533-position model. The record is from RNAcentral.
UACGUAGGGUGCAAGCGUUAAUCGGAAUUACUGGGCGUAAAGCGUGCGCAGGCGGCUUUGCAAGACAGAUGUGAAAUCCCCGGGCUUAACCUGGGAACUGCAUUUGUGACUGCAUGGCUAGAGUGCGGCAGAGGGGGAUGGAAUUCCGCGUGUGGCAGUGAAAUGCGUAGAUAUGCGGAGGAACACCGAUGGCGAAGGCAAUCCCCUGGGCCUGCACUGACGCUCAUGCACGAAAGCGUGGGGAGCAAACAGG